UCCCUUAGAUGUUCUGGGCCGCACGCGCGCUACACUGAUGCAUUCAACGAGCCUAUCCUUGACCGACAGGUCCGGGUAAUCUUUGAAUCUGCAUCGUGACGGGGAUAGAUUAUUGCAAUUAUUAAUCUUCAACGAGGAAUGCCUAGUAGGCGCAAGUCAUCAGCUUGCGUCGAUUACGUCCCUGCCCUUUGUACACACCGCCCGUCGCUCCUACCGAUUGGGUGUGCUGGUGAAAUGUUCGGAUCGGCCGUUUGUCGCGGUUUCCGCGUCAUGUGGCUGAGAAGUUCAUUAAACCCUCCCACCUAGAGGAAGGAGAAGUCGUAACA
Molecule: ribosomal RNA, 326 nt
Filed under: uncultured eukaryote
Lineage: Eukaryota
Description: partial 18S ribosomal RNA
Rfam family: Eukaryotic small subunit ribosomal RNA
Source: RNAcentral